Long non-coding RNA from Octodon degus (degu), 2277 nucleotides. RefSeq lists it as uncharacterized. The transcript is spliced from 4 exons. The record is from RefSeq and is a predicted model, not a curated record. NCBI's taxonomy places the organism in Eukaryota, Metazoa, Chordata, Mammalia, Rodentia, Octodontidae.
AGCACUCAGGCGUGACCAAAAGCGAGGGGUCACCCGAAAAGCACAAAAACUAGUGUGUUGCUUUUCAGUUUCACGCCCCUAGGAGCUUUCCCUGGUAAACACUGCUGGUCUUUGCGCCUCGCCGCUGGAUGCAUACAUAGUUGGGAUCCGGAGCUGUGCUCGCAAACCUGAGGAAACCAUAUGUGCAGUUCAAGGAAAGAUCAGCUCACCUAACUCCGCCUAUGUGCUUCUCUUUGAAGAUGGUCUUCAGGCAUUCAGAAUUUGUCUCUCUUAUAGUUGAACAAGCUCCCUCGAAGGCAGGAUUGUGCAAAUGCAUCUGAUUCAUACUGCUGCAACCGCAGGUGUAAGAGCACAGCAAAAGCAGAGUGAGGAUGAUCACAGCCUAGCAGCUGGCUCACUAGCCCCAGAAGCUCACAAAGAAACCAUGACCCUACUUACAGGAGCAGCUUCCAGACUCACGCCAGUCAUGCCGAGGACUCGCAUGGCUUCUCUUCCAAGCUCACAGGGAAGAGAUGAUAUCGUUUAAUUGAUGCUUUUCUUCAAAGGGGCCCAUUGUUUCUGUGCUUCCCUCCGACAGCUCCACAUAGUCACACCUUCCCAUUGCUGUUCCACAGAUUUCUUAAGCCCCUCCUACAAGCUCCACGCUGUUCAAGAAAGUGGAUAUCCAGUUGCCAAAAUCAUCAGCUGGGUACAGACAGGGCUGCCUCUGUCCAUGGAUUUUGUGGGAAUUUCUGCUGGUACUGAGCUGAAGGAUAAGAGCACGAGGCUGAAAGCUCAGGGUCUGGCCAGACAGAAGGCGUGGGCAGGAGUCUCGUGACCUUAUGCAGCCACCGUCAUGAGCUAGCAGGCGGUACUGAGCCUUUACCUUCCCGCUUAUACAGUGGGGGUCACACCAGCAUCUAUUCCCCCAGGAGCAUUUUGAGGAUCAAAUGAAAUAAUACAAAUACAAGUUGCUGGCCUAGUGACUGGAAUUUAGAAGUGCUCAGAAGAGUGGAUCUCUUUACUGAACACUAUUAUUUUCCUGGGUUUACAUACAAACAGUUAACUUGUUCUCUACAAACGUUGAGAGUUCCUUGAGCCUUCAGCUGGGCUGAGCUUAAGAAAAGCUUUCCCAAGGGCUGCAAAUGAUGUGUGACUCCAUGCAUAACAAGCCCACGGUGGAGCAGUCACCCGCUGAAUGUCAAAGUUACCAUUUCUCCUGGCCAAUAGAAUGAAAGAAUAAGCACUGGUGUUGUGGCCCAAAUUCCCUUUCUUGAGGGUGUGUUUUUGUUUGAUUUAUUCUGGAGAAAACUGGUCCUGAGAGAGGCUACGAAAAUAUGGUCACACAAGAAAGGGCCGUAUAAGGUGCAGUGUACAGCUAAUGUCCACAAGGCACCUCAGCAUGACAAAAGGCAGAGACCACGGAAAGAACGGAAACCAGUGUUAGCUUUCUGUCAGUUCCCAAGGUUGUUUCUCUGUAGAAUUCUAGCAUCAGUCGACAUCUCAAGGGACACUGCUUGCCAAACGUAGCUACACAAGCCAAGAAGAGCUUGCUUUACAACCUUUAAGAUAUGAAAGGGUCCUUGCUUGAGAACCAGGCAAGCUUUCUCUGACCCUUGCCCUCACCCAUAAUGCAGUCACAGAGCAAGUCACCUCAUGCAAAAUGCAGUGAUAAUAUGUCCUCCACACUUAACCAUAGAGAGAGGAGUCAUCACAAAAUCCACCUCCGGUGUGAACAGCAGUUGGCAGUGACAGUUAAGAUUUUUAGCUUGAGCUUCCGACUUUGUACCAGAAUAACCUUGAGGAAGCAGUUUGUGAAGGGUGAAAGCCUUUUGAUAUUGGAGGGCUGAGGGGAGACUGGGUGUGUUCUCAGGCACAGCUGUGACAGCAGGGUCAGGUAUGUGCGGGAAAGGAGUAGGAACGAAGGCAAGGAUGGUGGAGUAGUGAAAGAAAAGAAUUCAGCGUUCAGCUGUUGAGGCCACCAAUGGAAACGGUGAGAAAAAUGUGGGUAGGAGUGAUUGGUGAGUGAAUCAGCACUGUCCCUGGCAUGACAGUCUGAAGGUCUACCAGCCUCUCAGCAGACUCCUUUUGUUAGGUCUUAGGGGAGAGAUUAUAUCUUGAGAAAUAAACUGAAGAGAUGUCAGCAAGUGAUUGCAAAACUGUGGAGAGGAGGCUCAUGUCUCACUCAGCUGUGCAUCUUCUGCCUUCACCCUAAUGUCUGGUGCAAACAUAGAAGCUUUAGAGUAUUUCAAGAAUGAAUGAUGAGAGCUAGGAAGAUAGCUCCGCAGUCUAAGUGCC